UGCAAGUCGAACGAAGCACUUUGAUCGAUUUCUUCGGAUUGAAAUUUUAGUGACUGAGUGGCGGACGGGUGAGUAACGCGUGGGUAACCUGCCUCACACAGGGGGAUAACAGUUGGAAACGGCUGCUAAUACCGCAUAAGCGCACAGUACCGCAUGGUACAGUGUGAAAAACUCCGGUGGUGUGAGAUGGACCCGCGUCUGAUUAGCUAGUUGGCAGGGCAACGGCCUACCAAGGCGACGAUCAGUAGCCGACCUGAGAGGGUGACCGGCCACAUUGGGACUGAGACACGGCCCAAACUCCUACGGGAGGCAGCAGUGGGGAAUAUUGCACAAUGGGGGAAACCCUGAUGCAGCGACGCCGCGUGAGCGAAGAAGUAUUUCGGUAUGUAAAGCUCUAUCAGCAGGGAAGAAGAAAUGACGGUACCUGACUAAGAAGCACCGGCUAAAUACGUGCCAGCAGCCGCGGUAAUACGUAUGGUGCAAGCGUUAUCCGGAUUUACUGGGUGUAAAGGGAGCGCAGGCGGAAGGCUAAGUCUGAUGUGAAAGCCCGGGGCUCAACCCCGGUACUGCAUUGGAAACUGGUCAUCUAGAGUGUCGGAGGGGUAAGUGGAAUUCCUAGUGUAGCGGUGAAAUGCGUAGAUAUUAGGAGGAACACCAGUGGCGAAGGCGGCUUACUGGACGAUAACUGACGCUGAGGCUCGAAAGCGUGGGGAGCAAA
RNAcentral lists this ribosomal RNA (718 nucleotides) under uncultured bacterium. Its description in RNAcentral is "bacterial SSU rRNA". It matches the Rfam family "Bacterial small subunit ribosomal RNA", at positions 56 to 772 of the family's 1533-position model. The record is from RNAcentral.